Molecule: ribosomal RNA, 473 nt
Filed under: uncultured bacterium
Lineage: Bacteria
Description: bacterial SSU rRNA
Rfam family: Bacterial small subunit ribosomal RNA
Source: RNAcentral
GGGGACCCGCAAGCGGUGGAGCAUGUGGUUUAAUUCGAAGCAACGCGAAGAACCUUACCAAAUCUUGACAUCCUCUGACCACUGUAGAGAUACAGUUUCCCUUCGGGGCAGAGUGACAGGUGGUGCAUGGUUGUCGUCAGCUCGUGUCGUGAGAUGUUGGGUUAAGUCCCGCAACGAGCGCAACCCUUAAGCUUAGUUGCCAGCAUUCAGUUGGGCACUCUAGGUUGACUGCCGGUGACAAACCGGAGGAAGGUGGGGAUGACGUCAAAUCAUCAUGCCCCUUAUGAUUUGGGCUACACACGUGCUACAAUGGACAGGUGACAAAGGGCAGCGAAGUCGUGAGGCCAAGCGAAUCCCAUAAAACUGUUCUCAGUUCGGAUUGGAGUCUGCAACUCGACUCCAUGAAGCUGGAAUCGCUAGUAAUCGUGGAUCAGCAUGCCACGGUGAAUACGUUCCCGGGUCUUGUACACACC